AGACGACUUUGAACUCUGGUGGCUGGCGGAGCUUGGGGACGAGGGUUGUACCAAAGGCGGCCUCGCAACCUUAAUUUCUCACUGCUUUAGCCUUGGUUGAUUCAGAAAGUCAAAGGUUUUGAAUUCUGGUUCCUGAAACAGGUGAAUUAUCUGAUGAGGGGUCCUUGGAGAGCGAAGGGGGAUGUCAACUACGGCUUUCUAGGGAGCAAAGAUACUUAAGCUAAAUGGAUAAGAAGAAGAAAGUGCACCAAAAAAGGCUUUCUAGUCAACUUCACCUUAAACCAAUAGAUUCAGAUGCUUUGCAGUUCAUGGUAAAAAAGAAGAAUGUACUUAUUGAAGAUAAAGAUCAUGAAAAUGGCAAAAUUCAUCCACUACCAAGUACUCCAUGGAUUCCUCCUAAAAACAUUUCAGAUAUGUAUGACAAAAUGAAUAAAAAAACCCCUGCAAAGCCAGAUGAGAAGGUGGAAACCAAGCCAAAAAUAAGGUAAAUUAAGAUAGAAUUGGAAAACAAGUAUGAGAUUUCUCCCCCUUCCUGUGGAAGAGG
RNAcentral lists this long non-coding RNA (544 nucleotides) under Phascolarctos cinereus (koala). RNAcentral describes it as "lncRNA (ENSPCIG00000016916.2)". The record is from RNAcentral. Lineage: Eukaryota; Metazoa; Chordata; Mammalia; Diprotodontia; Phascolarctidae.